UACGUAGGGGGCAAGCGUUGUCCGGAUUUAUUGGGCGUAAAGAGCGUGUAGGCGGCCGUACAGGUCAGCUGUGAAAGCCCGAGGCUCAACCUCGGAACUGCCUUCGAUACUGCGGGUCUCGAGUCCGGGAGAGGUGAGUGGAAUUCCUAGUGUAGAGGUGAAAUUCGUAGAUAUUAGGAAGAACACCAGUGGCGAAGGCGGCUCACUGGCCCGGUACUGACGCUGAGGCGCGAAAGCGUGGGGAGCAAACAGG
Molecule: ribosomal RNA, 253 nt
Filed under: uncultured bacterium
Lineage: Bacteria
Description: partial 16S ribosomal RNA
Rfam family: Bacterial small subunit ribosomal RNA
Source: RNAcentral